CAUCAGCAGGUUGCUGUUAGUGCUCCUUUUCUGUUUCAUAUCCCACCUUUAUAUGUGUUGCCAGCCUUAGAUUUGAUGGAAGUGUUUUAGUGAAGUUCUAAUCAGUUCACACAGUGUGCUCCUCAUUACUCAAAGUUUGGCAAAUCACCAACAUAUUUGCUUUUUAAGUCACAUUAGGCUUGACAAAACUGGCCAGUUGAAGAUGGAUAAACGUAUUCUGGUGCGAUGAAUCUCUGUUUCUGCUGAUCGACUGCAUGAAUCCACCGACACCACCUGCCUUCCUGAAAGAGAUGGCAGCAGGAUACACAACAGGAAGAAGGCAAACCAGCAGUGUGAUGUUCUGGACAAUGUUCUGCUGGGGAAAACUGGGUCCCACUUUGUUUUUCAGGGACAAGUGUGGGAAAGCAGCAGAGUGAUGCAAACAGGAGCAACAUGGCAGCAGAGAGUGUCUGUCAUGCAGUGCCCUCAGCAAGAGUCUCCAAGGACUUUUUGUGGAGAAAUGGGGCACGUUUGGCCCAAAACACUCAUGCAACAUGAAUAUGGCUAAUCUCAAAAACAACGCAGACCAAUGAUAAGUCAUCAGAGUCAACUUUUCCCUGAACAGUGUGUGCGGGAAGUGGGUCGCUACCAAGUGUGAAAAUAAUUUAAAAAUAAAACUUAGUGACG
Molecule: long non-coding RNA, 666 nt
Organism: Amphiprion ocellaris (clown anemonefish)
Lineage: Eukaryota; Metazoa; Chordata; Actinopteri; Pomacentridae
Source: Ensembl